GGGGCGGUCAACGGGCUACGCUGGCUUGACAGGGCUGGGCUCUUCAGAACAGAAGCAUGGAUCUCGGAAUCCCUGACCUGCUGGACGCGUGGCUGGAGCCCCCAGAGGAUAUCUUCUCGACAGGAUCCGUCCUGGAGCUGGGACUCCACUGCCCCCCUCCAGAGGUUCCGGUAAUUAGGCUACAGGAACAGGGACUGCAAGGCUGGAAGUCCGGUGGGGACCGUGGCUGUGGCCUUCAAGAGAGUGAGCCUGAAGAUUUCUUGAAGCUUUUCAUUGAUCCCAAUGAGGUGUACUGCUCAGAAGCAUCUCCUGGCAGUGACAGUGGCAUCUCUGAGGACCCCUGCCGUCCAGACAGUCCCCCUGCCCCCAGGACAACCAGUUCUCCUACGCUCUAUGAGGUUGUCUAUGAGGCAGGGGCCCUGGAGAGGAUGCAGGGGGAAACUGGGCCAAAUGUAGGCCUCAUCUCCAUCCAGCUAGGUCAGUGUUCUUUGUGGGAAGGGGGAAAUGGCCCUUCGUGACUGGCCCUAACCAUGGGGUUAAGGGGGUUUACCCAACCUGUGCCACUACCCCGGCCGUCCUACUGUCAGGGUGUUCCUAAGUCUCCUUUCUCCC
Molecule: small RNA, 612 nt
Filed under: Pongo abelii (Sumatran orangutan)
Lineage: Eukaryota; Metazoa; Chordata; Mammalia; Primates; Hominidae
Description: processed transcript
Source: RNAcentral